RNAcentral lists this ribosomal RNA (562 nucleotides) under Coolia monotis. Its description in RNAcentral is "LSU rRNA". It matches the Rfam family "Eukaryotic large subunit ribosomal RNA", at positions 88 to 628 of the family's 3401-position model. Lineage: Eukaryota; Dinophyceae; Peridiniales; Ostreopsidaceae. The record is from RNAcentral.
GGCGAAUGACAAAGACAUAGUCAUUUUGAAAAUUGUGGUCCGUGAUCAUGAAUUGUAAUAUUCAAAAUGCAUUGCUAACAAAAUUGCAUAUGUUAGUUUAUUGGAAAGAACAUUACAAAGGGUGAAAAUCCCAUGUGUCAUGUGUAUGUUUUGUGUACAGUGUGCAUUUCAUGAUUCACAUUCAUUGACAAUUGAAUGUAAAGCGAAUGGUAAACUUCAUUUAAACAUAAAUAUGUUGUUGAAAACUUAUAUCGAACAAAUACCAUGAGGGAAAUGUGAAAAGGAUUUUGAAAAGAAAAUUAAAAGAGCUUACAAUUGCUGGAUUGAUAAGCAAACAAAACACACAUGUGUAUGUGCAAGAUUGUUGUCAUGUUGUGCAAUUCAUGCAAAUUAACAUUGCUUUGGUUUUUGUGUAAUUUUGUCAGCUUUGGAAUUGAGAAUGAUUUUUUUGAGUGUGAAUGGAUUGUUGUUUGUUAACAAAGGAAUGCACUUUCAAAAUCAUUGUUUGAUUUGUCAAUCAAGUUUGUGGCGUGUGUGUGUGUCAAAUUUAAUUAUAUAAUUC